CUGUCGGCCCCGGAGCGCCGCCUGGUGGGGCCCGUUUGGGAGGACGAACGGGUGGGGGCGAUGCGCCCUCGGUGAGAAAGCCUUCUCUAGCGAUCCGAGAGGGUGCCUUGGGGUACCGGACUCCCGUCGCGACGUGUUUGGGCAGAGUGCCGCUCUUUGCCUACCUACCGCGGCCUGCGCCUCCCCCCUCCGAGACGGGGGAGGAUCCCGCCGGCGGUGGCUCGGCGGGCGCGUGUGGGUCGGGCCAGCUCCCGCCUGGGGGCGCCUCCCCGGGUCGUGACUCCGGGUUGGACCGGACGGAUGGACGGACGGGCGGAUGGACGGACGGAGGUUCGGACGGGACCCCCGCGGCGGGGGUCGCGCGUGCCUGGGCCCGGGCGGUGUGGGGCCCGGGACCGGCCCUUCCCCACGCGCUCUCCCGGCCCUCGCCCGCUGUGCGCCUCCUCCCCGUCGCCGCCGACCCGCCCCCCCCGCCCCCCCGCCUGCCCGCGUCCCCCGACCGCACGGUCGCGGGUGCGCCGCGCGUGCCGCGCCCCUAACUCCGCCCUCCGUGGACCGAAACCGGCCUCGCCGCUGUUGGGCGUCCCCGGGCGAAGUGCUCUCGGUCCUCCGAGGAAGGGGAGGAGGGAGGCGCGCGGGGGGUGUUGGGGCGGGCGUCGUUGCGCGUGUGCGGGAGAGCGUUCUCGGGAGAACCGGUCGCGUGAACGGUGGCGGUUGGGGCCCCCGAGCCCCGCGAGGUUGCUUGGGGCCCGCCGUGGGGCGCCCGACCUCGGCCUCCCAGGUGCCUUCUGAGGCUUCCCGAAAGCCCCUCGCGGUGGCCCGCGGUCCUCUCCUCCACCGCUCCCGCUCGCCGUUCUCCGGCGCCUGGCUGGCCCCUGGCCGCCGGGGCGUCUCCCGUCCGCGGCCUUUCCCGAAAGUCCGCCCCCGUCCGUCGUCCGUCUUGCCGACCCGGUGCCGCGCUCCCCGGGGCGCCCGGCGCUUCCCGGGCCCGCUGCGGCCUUCCCGCCCGCGUCCGCCGCUCGCCCCCGCCCCCCGGCGGUGGCGUUGUGUGGUGACGAGGGGCCGCCGUCGUCUCCCGCCGCCCCCCACCCCCGCCGGCCGCGUCCCCGCCCUGGCGCGCGCGUGCCCCGGGCGUGGGUCGGGUCCCCGGCGGCCGCUCGCCGUUGGCCGUCCGCGGCCCCGCGCGCGUCUCCCCGGUGGCGGGGAGGGGUGCGCGCGCGCGCGCGCCCGCGCGGUCUCUGGCUCACCCGCGCUCCUACCUGGUUGAUCCUGCCAGUAGCAUAUGCUUGUCUCAAAGAUUAAGCCAUGCAUGUCUAAGUACGCACGGCCGGUACAGUGAAACUGCGAAUGGCUCAUUAAAUCAGUUAUGGUUCCUUUGGUCGCUCGCUCCUCUCCUACUUGGAUAACUGUGGUAAUUCUAGAGCUAAUACAUGCCGACGGGCGCUGACCCCCCUCGCGGGGGGGAUGCGUGCAUUUAUCAGAUCAAAACCAACCCGGUCAGCCUCCCUCCGGCCCCGGCCGGGGGGCGGGCGCCGGCGGCUUUGGUGACUCUAGAUAACCUCGGGCCGAUCGCACGCCCCCCGUGGCGGCGACGACCCAUUCGAACGUCUGCCCUAUCAACUUUCGAUGGUAGUCGCCGUGCCUACCAUGGUGACCACGGGUGACGGGGAAUCAGGGUUCGAUUCCGGAGAGGGAGCCUGAGAAACGGCUACCACAUCCAAGGAAGGCAGCAGGCGCGCAAAUUACCCACUCCCGACCCGGGGAGGUAGUGACGAAAAAUAAAAAAAAAUAAAAUAAAAUAAAAAAAUAAAAAAAAAAGGAAAUCCUACCAUUUGCUGCAACAAGAGAACCUAACAAUCAUGAAUAUUUAUGCCCCUAAUGUGGGAGCUGCCAACUAUAUCAAUCAAUAACCAGACAUACUUAGAUAAUAAUACUAAGACGGGGAGACUUCAACACAGCACCUCUGCAAAUGACAGAUAUUCUAAGCACAACAUCUCCAAAGAAACGAGAGCUUUAAAUGAUACACUGGACCAGAUGGAUUUCACAGAUAUUUACAGAACUUUACACCCAAAUGCAACUGAAUACACAUUCUUCUCAGGUGCACUUUCUCCAGAAUACACCACAUACUGGGUCACAAAUCAGGCCUUAAUCAAUACCAAAAGAUUGGGAUUCUCCCCUGCAUAUCUUCAGACCAUAAUGCUUUGAAACUUGAACUCAAUCACAAGAAGAAAUUUGGAAGAAACUCAAACACGUGGAGGUUAAGGAGCAUCCUGUUAAAAGAUGAAGGGUCAACCAAGAAAUCAGAGAAGAAUUAAAAAGCUUCAUGGAAACUAAUGAAAAUGAAGAUACAACCAUUCAAAAUCUUUGGGAUACAGCAAAAGCAGUCCUAAGAGGGAAAUACAUCGCAAUAUAAGAAUCCCUCAAAAACUUGGGAAAAACUCAAAUACACAAGCUAACCUCACACCUAAAGGAACUGAGAAGGGCAGCAAAUAAAACCUACACCAAGCAGAAGAGAGUUAAUAAAGAUUCGAGCAGAACUCAAUGAAAUAGAGAUCAGAAGAACUGUAGAACAGAUCAACAAAACCAGGAGUUGGGUCUUUGAAAGAAUUAAUAAGAUAGAUAAACCAUUAGCCAGUCUUAUUAAAAACAAAAGAGAAAGACUCUAAUUAAUAAAAUCAUGAAUGAAAAAGGAAAGAUCGCUAUCAAUACCAAGGAAAUACAAACGACUUUAAACACAUAUGAUGGGCAGCUAUAUGUCAAUAAAUUAGGCAAUCUAGAAGAAAUGGAUGCAUUUCUGGAAAACCACAAACUAUCAAAACUGGGACAGGAAGAAUAGAAAACCUUAACAGGCCAAUAACCAGGGAGGAAAUUGAAGCAGUCAUCAAAAACCUCCCAAGACACAAAUGUCCAGGGCUAGAUGGCUUCCCAGGGGAAUUCUAUCAAACGUUUAAAGAAGAAACCAUACCUAUUCUACUAAACCUGUUUGGAAAGAUAGAAAGAGAUGGAGUACUUCCAAACUCAUUCUAUAAGGCCAGCAUCACCUUAAUUCCAAAACCAGACAAAGACCCCACCAAAAAGGAGAAUUAUAGACCAAUAUCCCUGAUGAACAUGGAUGCAAAAAUUCUCAACAAGAUACUAGCCAAUAGGAUCCAACAGUACAUUAAGAAGAUUCACCAUGACCAAGUGGGAUUUAUCCCCAGGUUGCAAGGCUGGUUCAAUACUCAUAAAGCAAUCAAUGUGAUUGAUCAUAUCAACAAGAGAAAAAAACAAGAACCAUAUGAUCCGCUCAAUAGAUGCAGAGAAAGCAUUUGACAAAAUACAGCAUCCAUUCCUGAUCAAAACUCUUCAGAGUGUAGGGAUAGAGGGAACAUUCCUCAACAUCUUAAAAGCCACCUACGAAAAGCCCACAGCAAAUAUCAUUCUCAAUGGGGAAGCACUGGGAGCCUUUCCCCUAAGAUCAGGAACAAGACAGGGAUGUCCACUCUCACCACUGCUGUUCAACAUAGUACUGGAAGUCCUAGCCUCAGCAAUCAGGCAACAAAAAGAAAUAAAAGGCAUUCAAAUUGGCAAAGAAGAAGUCAAACCCUCCCUCUUUGCAGAUGACAUGAUACUAUACAUAGAAAACCCAAGAGACUCCACCCCAAGAUUGCUAGAACUCAUAUAGCAAUUCGGCAGUGCAGCAGGAUACAAAAUCAACGCCCAAAAACCAGUGGCAUUUCUAUACACUAACAAUGAGACUGAAGAAAGAGAAAUUAAGGAGUCAAUCCCAUUUACAAUUGCACCCAAAAGCAUAAGAUAAGUAGAAAUACACCUAACCAAAGAGGUAAAGGAUCUAUACUAAAAACUACAGAACACUUAGGAAAAAAACUGAGGAAAGCACAAAGAGAUGGAAAAAUAUUCCAUGCUCAUGGAUUGGAAGAAUUAAUAUUGUGAAAAGGUCAAUGCUACCCAAGGCAAUUUACACAUUUAAUGCAAUUCCUAUCCAAAUAUCAUGGACUUUCUUCAGAGAGUUGGAACAAAUCAU
Molecule: long non-coding RNA, 4024 nt
Filed under: Canis lupus familiaris (dog)
Lineage: Eukaryota; Metazoa; Chordata; Mammalia; Carnivora; Canidae
Description: lncRNA (ENSCAFG00040004295.1)
Rfam family: Eukaryotic small subunit ribosomal RNA (bases 1260-1837)
Source: RNAcentral